UUUUUUUUUAUUUUUUUAUUUGUUAGUAUUGCAUACUAUUUUAGGAAAUUUUUAUGUUUAUAAAAAAUAGAAACAAAAUGUAGAAUUAUAAUAUUUUUUAUUGUUUCACAAUAAAUACUAUUAUUUUUGGUGUUGAAAUGUCGUAUUUUGUGUUAUCUGUUUUGUUGUGUUAUUAUUAGAAAAUUGUAUUUUUUUUUAUAUUUUUAGGAAUAAGAGAUUUUGUAGUGUUUUAAUUUUACGUUUUAUAACGUUUUCUUUUUUAAAAAAAAGAUAUUAGUGAAUAAUUAUUAAUUUUUUAAUAAUUAGAUUAUCUAAAAUUUAGUAGGUUAAUUAGAAUUUUGUGUUUGUUAGCAAAUUAAUUUGAGAACUUGAUUUUUGAUCAAAUGUUUUUUAAAGACUUAGGUUUUUUGAUAAAGCUGUCUUCUGCCCUAUGUUUGGUGUAAAUGGCAGUCUUAGCGUGAGGACAUUAAGGUAGCAAAAUAAUUUGUAUUUUUAAUGGGUUCCAGUAUGAAUGGAGAUAUUGGUUGAUUCUUUUCUUUUUUAUGUCUGAAUUAAAUAUUUAUUUAAGAAAAAAUAAUUAUAAUUAAACAAAGAUAAGUCUUCGGAAAUUUUUUUAUCAUUUUUCCUGUUGUUAUUGUGGUAGGUUUUCUAGGGUAGAAUUUUAUGUAAUUUUUUUUACUGAAAUCAUAAUAAAAAAUUACUUCGGAGUUAACAGAAAAUCAUAUCUAAUCUAGUUCUUAUAGUAAUGAUAAGUUUUACAUCGAUGUUGUAUUUUGGUAAAAUAAGAGAGGAGAAAGCUUAUUUAUUUAGACUGUUCUUCUAUUAGUAAACCAAACGUGAUAUUAGUUUAAUUCAUCGUGAGAUAGAAUUGUUUAUCUUGUUAAUUAUUAAGAAAUAAUGUAAUUAGUACGAAAGGAAGUUUAUUAAAGUUUGAAACUUUUUGAAAGGGUUGUUUCUUUUU
RNAcentral lists this ribosomal RNA (961 nucleotides) under Ortleppascaris sinensis. Its description in RNAcentral is "16S ribosomal RNA". The record is from RNAcentral. Lineage: Eukaryota; Metazoa; Nematoda; Chromadorea; Rhabditida; Ascarididae.